Molecule: ribosomal RNA, 2904 nt
Filed under: Shigella sonnei
Lineage: Bacteria; Pseudomonadati; Pseudomonadota; Gammaproteobacteria; Enterobacterales; Enterobacteriaceae
Description: 23S ribosomal RNA
Rfam family: Bacterial large subunit ribosomal RNA
Source: RNAcentral
GGUUAAGCGACUAAGCGUACACGGUGGAUGCCCUGGCAGUCAGAGGCGAUGAAGGACGUGCUAAUCUGCGAUAAGCGUCGGUAAGGUGAUAUGAACCGUUAUAACCGGCGAUUUCCGAAUGGGGAAACCCAGUGUGUUUCGACACACUAUCAUUAACUGAAUCCAUAGGUUAAUGAGGCGAACCGGGGGAACUGAAACAUCUAAGUACCCCGAGGAAAAGAAAUCAACCGAGAUUCCCCCAGUAGCGGCGAGCGAACGGGGAGGAGCCCAGAGCCUGAAUCAGUGUGUGUGUUAGUGGAAGCGUCUGGAAAGGCGCGCGAUACAGGGUGACAGCCCCGUACACAAAAAUGCACAUAUUGUGAGCUCGAUGAGUAGGGCGGGACACGUGGUAUCCUGUCUGAAUAUGGGGGGCCCAUCCUCCAAGGCUAAAUACUCCUGACUGACCGAUAGUGAACCAGUACCGUGAGGGAAAGGCGAAAAGAACCCCGGCGAGGGGAGUGAAAAAGAACCUGAAACCGUGUACGUACAAGCAGUGGGAGCACGCUUAGGCGUGUGACUGCGUACCUUUUGUAUAAUGGGUCAGCGACUUAUAUUCUGUAGCAAGGUUAACCGAAUAGGGGAGCCGAAGGGAAACCGAGUCUUAACUGGGCGUUAAGUUGCAGGGUAUAGACCCGAAACCCGGUGAUCUAGCCAUGGGCAGGUUGAAGGUUGGGUAACACUAACUGGAGGACCGAACCGACUAAUGUUGAAAAAUUAGCGGAUGACUUGUGGCUGGGGGUGAAAGGCCAAUCAAACCGGGAGAUAGCUGGUUCUCCCCGAAAGCUAUUUAGGUAGCGCCUCGUGAAUUCAUCUCCGGGGGUAGAGCACUGUUUCGGCAAGGGGGUCAUCCCGACUUACCAACCCGAUGCAAACUGCGAAUACCGGAGAAUGUUAUCACGGGAGACACACGGCGGGUGCUAACGUCCGUCGUGAAGAGGGAAACAACCCAGACCGCCAGCUAAGGUCCCAAAGUCAUGGUUAAGUGGGAAACGAUGUGGGAAGGCCCAGACAGCCAGGAUGUUGGCUUAGAAGCAGCCAUCAUUUAAAGAAAGCGUAAUAGCUCACUGGUCGAGUCGGCCUGCGCGGAAGAUGUAACGGGGCUAAACCAUGCACCGAAGCUGCGGCAGCGACGCUUAUGCGUUGUUGGGUAGGGGAGCGUUCUGUAAGCCUGCGAAGGUGUGCUGUGAGGCAUGCUGGAGGUAUCAGAAGUGCGAAUGCUGACAUAAGUAACGAUAAAGCGGGUGAAAAGCCCGCUCGCCGGAAGACCAAGGGUUCCUGUCCAACGUUAAUCGGGGCAGGGUGAGUCGACCCCUAAGGCGAGGCCGAAAGGCGUAGUCGAUGGGAAACAGGUUAAUAUUCCUGUACUUGGUGUUACUGCGAAGGGGGGGACGGAGAAGGCUAUGUUGGCCGGGCGACGGUUGUCCCGGUUUAAGCGUGUAGGCUGGUUUUCCAGGCAAAUCCGGAAAAUCAAGGCUGAGGCGUGAUGACGAGGCACUACGGUGCUGAAGCAACAAAUGCCCUGCUUCCAGGAAAAGCCUCUAAGCAUCAGGUAACAUCAAAUCGUACCCCAAACCGACACAGGUGGUCAGGUAGAGAAUACCAAGGCGCUUGAGAGAACUCGGGUGAAGGAACUAGGCAAAAUGGUGCCGUAACUUCGGGAGAAGGCACGCUGAUAUGUAGGUGAAGUCCCUUGCGGAUGGAGCUGAAAUCAGUCGAAGAUACCAGCUGGCUGCAACUGUUUAUUAAAAACACAGCACUGUGCAAACACGAAAGUGGACGUAUACGGUGUGACGCCUGCCCGGUGCCGGAAGGUUAAUUGAUGGGGUCAGCGCAAGCGAAGCUCUUGAUCGAAGCCCCGGUAAACGGCGGCCGUAACUAUAACGGUCCUAAGGUAGCGAAAUUCCUUGUCGGGUAAGUUCCGACCUGCACGAAUGGCGUAAUGAUGGCCAGGCUGUCUCCACCCGAGACUCAGUGAAAUUGAACUCGCUGUGAAGAUGCAGUGUACCCGCGGCAAGACGGAAAGACCCCGUGAACCUUUACUAUAGCUUGACACUGAACAUUGAGCCUUGAUGUGUAGGAUAGGUGGGAGGCUUUGAAGUGUGGACGCCAGUCUGCAUGGAGCCGGCCUUGAAAUACCACCCUUUAAUGUUUGAUGUUCUAACGUGGACCCGUGAUCCGGGUUGCGGACAGUGUCUGGUGGGUAGUUUGACUGGGGCGGUCUCCUCCUAAAGAGUAACGGAGGAGCACGAAGGUUGGCUAAUCCUGGUCGGACAUCAGGAGGUUAGUGCAAUGGCAUAAGCCAGCUUGACUGCGAGCGUGACGGCGCGAGCAGGUGCGAAAGCAGGUCAUAGUGAUCCGGUGGUUCUGAAUGGAAGGGCCAUCGCUCAACGGAUAAAAGGUACUCCGGGGAUAACAGGCUGAUACCGCCCAAGAGUUCAUAUCGACGGCGGUGUUUGGCACCUCGAUGUCGGCUCAUCACAUCCUGGGGCUGAAGUAGGUCCCAAGGGUAUGGCUGUUCGCCAUUUAAAGUGGUACGCGAGCUGGGUUUAGAACGUCGUGAGACAGUUCGGUCCCUAUCUGCCGUGGGCGCUGGAGAACUGAGGGGGCUGCUCCUAGUACGAGAGGACCGGAGUGGACGCAUCACUGGUGUUCGGGUUGUCAUGCCAAUGGCACUGCCCGGUAGCUAAAUGCGGAAGAGAUAAGUGCUGAAAGCAUCUAAGCACGAAACUUGCCCCGAGAUGAGUUCUCCCUGACCCUUUAAGGGUCCUGAAGGAACGUUGAAGACGACGACGUUGAUAGGCCGGGUGUGUAAGCGCAGCGAUGCGUUGAGCUAACCGGUACUAAUGAACCGUGAGGCUUAACCUU